UGGGGAAUUUUGGACAAUGGGCGAAAGCCUGAUCCAGCAAUGCCGCGUGUGUGAAGAAGGCCUUCGGGUUGUAAAGCACUUUUGUCCGGAAAGAAAUCCUUGGCUCUAAUACAGUCGGGGGAUGACGGUACCGGAAGAAUAAGCACCGGCUAACUACGUGCCAGCAGCCGCGGUAAUACGUAGGGUGCAAGCGUUAAUCGGAAUUACUGGGCGUAAAGCGCGCGCAGGCGGUUUGCUAAGACCGAUGUGAAAUCCCCGGGCUCAACCUGGGAACUGCAUUGGUGACUGGCAGGCUAGAGUAUGGCAGAGGGGGGUAGAAUUCCACGUGUAGCAGUGAAAUGCGUAGAGAUGUGGAGGAAUACCGAUGGCGAAGGCAGCCCCCUGGGCCAAUACUGACGCUCAUGCACGAAAGCGUGGGGAGCAAACAGGAUUAGAUACCCUGGUAGUCCACGCCCUAAAACGAUGUCAACUAGUUGUUGGGGAUUCAUUUCCUUAGUAACGUAGCUAACGCGUGAAGUUGACCGCCUGGGGAGUACGGUCGCAAGAUUAAAACUCAAAUGAAUUGACGGGGUCAUAGCUG
Molecule: ribosomal RNA, 580 nt
Filed under: uncultured bacterium
Lineage: Bacteria
Description: partial 16S ribosomal RNA
Rfam family: Bacterial small subunit ribosomal RNA
Source: RNAcentral